UUGGCAAAAUAGCUGCUCGCGCUUCACUGUAGGCAGAUAUCUACAAUCAGCGGUCGAAUUAAAAACAGUGCAGAAGGAUGUUUUGAGUAUAUUUUACCUUCUAGCCGCGCAAUCAAUGCUUUUCUUUCCAAGCAAGCAGCGUUUUUCGGCAAAAGCAUGAAAUAGAAUCGUACGUGGUACGAAUUUAUCGGCACAAUCUGAUCAAGGACGGAGGCAUCAUCAAACGGAAACUACGCGAAAAACUUUUCGAAGAGAUAAAACUGCGCCGCAACACUCGUGUGAAAAUGGACGAGUUGGGCUGGGUGCUGAUGAACCACAAUUUGAUAACACGUAAUGAGCCAAUCCAACAGCAUGCCAAUGGUAAUCGACCAAAUCAUUUUAAAUUGAACAUGAAGCGGUUGUGCAACCUACUGGAGCAGCAAGAACAGAACAAUCACGCUGAGUUGACUUCCAAAAAGCAAAACAAAUUCCUGCGUAUGCUGGAUGCAAUUUUACAAAACGACAUAGUUUUGAAGGAAAUUAAAGAGAUGGUAGCGGCGAAUCGACUUCUAUCGGAAAUUCGUUAUGUGACUACGGUGGAACGUAUGCUGAAACACAAUUUGGACCCCUCUUUGCGCUGCUGCUUUGUAUGCCGAGAGUAUUUCCGCACUGCCGAUGAGUAUAC
Molecule: long non-coding RNA, 664 nt
Organism: Toxorhynchites rutilus septentrionalis
Lineage: Eukaryota; Metazoa; Arthropoda; Insecta; Diptera; Culicidae
Exons: 4
Source: RefSeq, a predicted model, not a curated record